CAAUAGCGUAUAUUAAAGUUGUUGCAGUUAAAAAGCUCGUAGUUGAACUUUGGGCCUGGCAGGCCGGUCCGCUUUUUGGCGAGUACUGACCCUGCCGGGCCUUUCCUUCUGGCUAACCUCCCCUCUGGAGAGGCGAACCAGGACUUUUACUUUGAAAAAAUUAGAGUGUUCAAAGCAGGCCUUUGCUCGAAUAUAUUAGCAUGGAAUAAUAGAAUAGGACGUUUGGUUCUAUUUUGUUGGUUUCUAGGACCAUCGUAAUGAUUAAUAGGGACGGUCGGGGGCAUCAGUAUUCAGUUGCCAGAGGUGAAAUUCUUGGAUUUACUGAAGACUAACUACUGCGAAAGCAUUUGCCAAGGACGUUUUCAUUAA
This 369-nucleotide ribosomal RNA is filed under the name uncultured eukaryote. RNAcentral's name for it is "partial 18S ribosomal RNA". It matches the Rfam family "Eukaryotic small subunit ribosomal RNA", at positions 592 to 976 of the family's 1831-position model. The record is from RNAcentral.